UGGUGUCUCUGAGUAGGGGCUGUAGA
This 26-nucleotide non-coding RNA is filed under the name Mus musculus (house mouse). The record is from RNAcentral. Lineage: Eukaryota; Metazoa; Chordata; Mammalia; Rodentia; Muridae.